AAAGGAAUAGACGGGGGCCCGCACAAGCGGUGGAGCAUGUGGCUUAAUUCGAUGCAACGCGAAGAACCUUACCUGGGCUUGACAUGUAACUGCAAAUCCGGUGAAAGCCGGACUCCUUCGAGGGUGUUACACAGGUGCUGCAUGGCUGUCGUCAGCUCGUGCCGUGAGGUGUUAGGUUAAGUCCUGCAACGAGCGCAACCCCUGUGAUUAGUUGCUAGUCGCGCAAGCGAAGCACUCUAGUCAGACUGCCUGUGAUAAGCAGGAGGAAGGUGGGGAUGACGUCAAGUCAGUAUGGUCCUUAUGCCCAGGGCUGCACACGUGCUACAAUGUAGGGUACAGAGGGAUGCGAAUCCGCGAGGUGGAGCAAAUCCCAUAAAACCCUACUCAGUUCAGAUUGGAGUCUGCAACUCGACUCCAUGAAGCUGGAAUCGCUAGUAAUGGCGCAUCAGCUACGGCGCCGUGAAUACGUUCCCGGGCCUUGUACACACCGCCCGU
This 495-nucleotide ribosomal RNA is filed under the name uncultured bacterium. RNAcentral describes it as "bacterial SSU rRNA". It matches the Rfam family "Bacterial small subunit ribosomal RNA", at positions 903 to 1397 of the family's 1533-position model. The record is from RNAcentral.